UAAUAAUCUUCUUGUAACCACUGACAGGCCUUUUUGUGAAUGAUGAUGGAAAAAGCAAGAACCUUGUCCAGGUUCCUCUCCAGGGAGCAGGGGUGGGUUGUGAUUCUUGAUUUCAUUCCUUUAGAUAUGAAGAGUUUUCACACAGAGGCAGCACGAAUUUGUCUCUCUCCUAGAGGGUGGGGAGAGUUGCUGGGUGGAUAUAACUGCAUCACAGCCUUUCUGGGUAAACUGGCCACUCCCUACUGAUUUGUUAUCAUGCUAAAUGUGUCUCCUCCCUUCCUUUCUGGAGCUUUUGCAGCUGUUCCUGGAAGGAGACCCAGUUGAAAGGGGUUGUUAUGGACCAGGAACAGCUGGGAUCUUUAAUGAUCUGUGAGCAGCUUACAGCAAAGUUCCAACACCCUGAGUAUCAGUCCCCAAAUCCUUGGUCUUUGCAUUCCAACACAAAGUAAAAAGGAUUGAGCAGGGUUUUGGUUUUGGUUGCAAGUAACAGAAACCCAACGCUAAUUAAUAAACGGGAAAGUGUGUCAGUGGAAAUCUCCACAAGUCCGACGGAAAGAGAAAACUGCUUUCCCAAAGGGUGUAAGAGGAUGAAAGGCAUGUCAUCAGCUGAAUUGCAUCAGGUGUCCAUCUUGGAAUCAAUCACGGUGCCUCUUAUUAGCAAAGCCUGAGUCAUAGGCAUGUGUCAUUUCACAUCUGCAUAAAAAGACAUGCUGAAGGAUGUUCCUUGCAGAAUGGUUAUAGAGAAAAAUGGGAAUAACCACGAUAUAAAGUAACAGGUCUAUACAGCAAUUAUUGUCCAAAACACUCUACUGUUUUCUGGAAGUAAGUUUUUGAAAACAUUUUCUUUUUUACCUUUUACUUCUGUAUCAGUCAGUAUAGGCUACAGUGUGCUGCAGUAAUAAAUAACCUUGACUUCUUAGUGGCUUAGUAUAAUAAAGCUUUUUUUCCUCACUCAUGCUUUAGCUAUUGAUUGGGGCUCUGCUUCAAGUUAUCUUCACUUCAGCAUACAAGCUGAUGGGGCUGCCACCAUGUAGAAGGUUGCUAUGAUUGAGAAAGAAAUCACUUGAUGAAUUCACACACCAACUUUUUGUUUGUUUGUUUGUUUGUUUUGGA
This 1113-nucleotide long non-coding RNA is filed under the name Homo sapiens (human). Its description in RNAcentral is "HSALNT0349308". The record is from RNAcentral. Lineage: Eukaryota; Metazoa; Chordata; Mammalia; Primates; Hominidae.